GGGCGGUUAGCUCAGUGGUAGAGCACAGCAUUCACAUUGCUGGGGUCACAGGUUCAAGCCCUGUACCGCCCA
RNAcentral lists this transfer RNA (72 nucleotides) under Thiobacillus denitrificans. It matches the Rfam family "tRNA". From Rfam's summary of the family: Transfer RNA (tRNA) molecules are approximately 80 nucleotides in length. Lineage: Bacteria; Pseudomonadati; Pseudomonadota; Betaproteobacteria; Nitrosomonadales; Thiobacillaceae. The record is from Rfam by way of RNAcentral.